RNAcentral lists this long non-coding RNA (591 nucleotides) under Brachypodium distachyon (stiff brome). RNAcentral describes it as "long non-coding RNA (BDIS_LNC002794)". Lineage: Eukaryota; Viridiplantae; Streptophyta; Magnoliopsida; Poales; Poaceae. The record is from RNAcentral.
CGAUCAUAAAACAUUAACCAGAGUACUGAGACCAGACCCAAUUCAUAGCAAAAGCAUCACACGACGACGACGACGACCAACAGAAUCCAACGACGGGGAAGGGGAAGGGGGAGGGGAAAUAAACUGAGGGAAGCGGCUCAGGCAAGCCAAGCAAGCUAGCGCUCCAAAUUUAACAAUCCAGAUCCAUCGGCAAAACUAAGACCAAUAACUCCGACGGCCGGCCGGCUUUAAGAGGAGAGGUAUUUAGGCGGAGAUCUAUAUGGAGAUGGGGGAUAUAAUCGGGAGAUCGGGUGGUUGGUUGAACGAACUAACGAUCGAUCUCUCACUUGGUGCAGUCGCGGGCCAUGUGGCCGGGCUCGCCGCAGUUGUAGCAGUUGCCGCCGCCACCGCCGCCCCCACCGCCGAACCUCCCGCCGCCGCCACCGCCGCCGAAGCCGCCGUUGGUGGGGCAGUCCCUGGCGAGAUGUCCAGGCUCGCCGCAGUUGUAGCAGUUGCCGCCGCCGCCGCCGCCACCGCCGCUGCGGAAGCCGCCGCCGUUGGUGGGGCAGUCCCUGGCGAGAUGUCCAGGCUCGCCGCAGUUGUAGCAGGCAC